Molecule: ribosomal RNA, 492 nt
Filed under: uncultured bacterium
Lineage: Bacteria
Description: partial 16S ribosomal RNA
Rfam family: Bacterial small subunit ribosomal RNA
Source: RNAcentral
AUUGAACGCUGGCGGCAUGCUUUACACAUGCAAGUCGAACGGUAACAGGCCUUCGGGUGCUGACGAGUGGCGAACGGGUGAGUAAUGCAUCGGAACGUACCCAGAGGUGGGGGAUAACGCAGCGAAAGCUGUGCUAAUACCUCAUGUGAUCUGAGGAUGAAAGCGGGGGACCGAGCAGCAAUGUUUGGCCUCGCGCCUUUGGAGCGGCCGAUGUCGGUUUAGCUAGUUGGAGGGGUAAAGGCCUACCAAGGCGACGAUCCGUAGCUGGUCUGAGAGGACGACCAGCCACACUGGGACUGAGACACGGCCCAGACUCCUACGGGAGGCAGCAGUGGGGAAUUUUGGACAAUGGGCGCAAGCCUGAUCCAGCAAUGCCGCGUGCGGGAAGAAGGCCUUCGGGUUGUAAACCGCUUUUGGCAGGAACGAAACGGUGUCCGCUAAUACCGGGCGCUAAUGACGGUACCUGCAGAAUAAGCACCGGCUAACUACGUG